Molecule: non-coding RNA, 958 nt
Filed under: Sicista concolor (Chinese birch mouse)
Lineage: Eukaryota; Metazoa; Chordata; Mammalia; Rodentia; Dipodidae
Description: 12S ribosomal RNA
Rfam family: Bacterial small subunit ribosomal RNA
Source: RNAcentral
UAAAAGGUUUGGUCCUAGCCUUCUUAUUAGUUGUUAGAAAAAUUACACAUGCAAGCCUCCACAAGCCAGUGAAAAUGCCCCCCUUAAUCUGACUAGCUGAUUAUAGGGAGCUGGUAUCAAGCUCACUUCAGUUGCUCAUGACACCUUGCCUAGCCACACCCCCACGGGAUACAGCAGUGAUAAAAAUUAAGCUAUAAACGAAAGUUUGACUUAGUUAUUCUACCCCGGGUUGGUUAAUUUCGUGCCAGCCACCGCGGUCAUACGAUUGACCCUAACUAAUAAGCCACCGGCGUAAAGCGUGUUUAAGUUAACCCUGUAUAAUAAGAUUAAACCCAUGCUAAUACGUAAAAAUUCAUAGCUAAGAGGAAAAUAAGCCACGCAAGUGAUCUUAAAAAUCUGAAGACACGACAGCUAGGGCACAAACUGAGAUUAGAUACCCCACUAUGCCUAGCCUUAAACCAAGGUAGCUUCUCCCAACAAGACUACUCGCCAGAGAACUACAAGCCACCGCUUAAAACUCAAAGGACUUGGCGGUACUUUACAUCCGUCUAGAGGAGCCUGUUCUAUAAUCGAUAAACCCCGAUCAACCUCACCACCUUUAGCUAAUUCAGCCUAUAUACCGCCAUCUUCAGCGAACCCCUACAGGGAAUCAAAGUAAGCUUAACAAUCACACAUAAAGACGUUAGGUCAAGGUGUAGCCAAUAAGGUGGAAAGCAAUGGGCUACAUUUUCUUAACAAGAACACUCACGAUACUUUUCUUGAAACAGAAAAAAGAAGGAGGAUUUAGUAGUAAAUUGAGAAUAGAGUGCUUAAUUGAAUAGAGCUAUGAAGUACGCACACACCGCCCGUCACCCUCCUCAAGUAUUCAAGAAACUAGAUACCUAAUACCCUCUACUACAAUAUGAGAGGAGAUAAGUCGUAACAUGGUAAGCAUACUGGAAAGUGUGCUUGGAAUAAU